AGAGUUUGAUCCUGGCUCAGGAUGAACGCUGGCGGCGUGCUUUAUGCAUGCAAGUCGAACGAGAAGGGGCGGACUUCGGUCCGGCCUGGAGAGUGGCGAACGGGUGAGUAACACGUGAGUGACCUGCCCCGAGGUGGGGGACAACCGUGGGAAACCACGGCUAAUACCCCGUAGUCCUGUGCGCAUUGGUCGCGUACAGGUAUAGCUCCGGCGCCUCGGGAGGGGCUCGCGGUCGAUUAGCUAGUUGGUGGGGUAACGGCCUACCAAGGCGACGAUCGAUAGCUGGUCUGAGAGGACGAUCAGCCACACUGGGACUGAGAUACGGCCCAGACUCCUACGGGGGGCAGCAGCAAGGAAUAUUGGACAAUGGGCGCAAGCCUGAUCCAGCAACGCCGCGUGGAGGAAGAAGGCUUCGGUUGUAAACUCCUUUUGUGAGGGAUGAGACAAGGACAGUACCUCACGAAUAAGUCACGGCUAACUAGGUGCCAGCAGCCGCGGUAACACCUAGGUGACAAGCGUUAUCCGGAUUUACUGGGCGUAAAGGGCUCGAAGGCGGCAGCUCAAGUCCGGCGUGAAAUCUCCUGGCUUAACCAGGAGGGGUCGUCGGAUACUGUGCUGCUAGAGGCAGUGAGAGGGGUGCGGAAUUCUCGGUGGAGUGGUGGAAUACGUAGAUAUCGAGAGGAACACCAGUGGCGAAAGCGGCGCCCUGGCACUGACCUGACGUUCAUGAGCGAAAGCGUGGGGAGCGAACGGGAUUAGAUACCCCGGUAGUCCACGCUGUAAACGAUGAGUACUAGGUGUAGGCGACAACCGUGGUCUGUGCCGAAGCUAACGCGAUAAGUACUCCGCCUGGGGACUACGGCCGCAAGGCUAAAACUCAAAGGAAUUGACGGGGACCCCCACAAGCAGCGGAGCGUGUUGUUUAAUUCGAUGUAACGCGAAGAACCUUACCUGGGUUUGACAUGUGCGUAGUAGUGAAGCGAAAGCCGAACGACCCUUCGGGGAGCGUACACAGGUGUUGCAUGGCUGUCGUCAGCUCGUG
This 1042-nucleotide ribosomal RNA is filed under the name uncultured bacterium. RNAcentral's name for it is "bacterial SSU rRNA". It matches the Rfam family "Bacterial small subunit ribosomal RNA", at positions 8 to 1064 of the family's 1533-position model. The record is from RNAcentral.